GCCCGAAAGGGAACCUGAACACAGGUGCUGCAUGGCUGUCGUCAGCUCGUGUCGUGAGAUGUUCGGUUAAGUCCGCUAACGAGCGCAACCCUCGCUGUGUGUUACAAGUGUCACACGGAACUGCCGGUCAUAAACCGGAGGAAGGUGGGAUGACGUCAAGUCAGCAUGGCCUUUAUAUCCUGGGCUACACACACGCUACAAUGGGAAGGGACAAUAGGUUGCGAAGCCGCGAGGCGGAGCCAAUCCAGCAAAACUUCCCUCAGUUCAGAUUGCAGGCUGCAACUCGCCUGCAUGAAGUUGGAGUUGCUAGUAAACGCAGGUCAGCCAUACUGCGUUGAAUACGUUCCCGGGGCUU
RNAcentral lists this ribosomal RNA (355 nucleotides) under uncultured Anaerolineaceae bacterium. RNAcentral's name for it is "bacterial SSU rRNA". It matches the Rfam family "Bacterial small subunit ribosomal RNA", at positions 1014 to 1382 of the family's 1533-position model. The record is from RNAcentral. Lineage: Bacteria; Bacillati; Chloroflexota; Anaerolineae; Anaerolineales; Anaerolineaceae.